GAAUAUUGACUUAUGUUAUCAUUAUAAUUACGCCAGUCCAUUGGCAUAAUAUCACAUUUAUUUCCCCUAUAUGUCUCUGUAUCCUACAGAAUGCCAGCGUUGGUGUUGCUGCUUCUUCCACCUUAAGUGAAGAAAACAAAGAAUCAACAGAAUCAGUGUUUGAAAUCCCUGAGUUAUUCCCGACUCAGGAGACAGAAGAAACAGAGAAACAUGAGAUUGAGAUAGAAGAUUUGCCAAUUGAGGACACUGAAUCUCAGAUCUGUUCAGACUCUUCACAAAGUGAUUCUGCCUCGGCUAGCGCUAGGCCGCAUGUCACUUUAAUACACGUGAAAGAAGCUGAAUAUGCCAAUAUUGUUCUGUCACUAGACCAGAAGGCACAAGAGUGGAUAAUAGAACCUAUUGAUGAUACCAGGGAGUCCAAAAGCGACAAACCUAUUAUCGCCAAGGAGAUCUGUACAAGGCCACGUGUUCACUUUAAUACACGUGAAAGAAGCCGAAGAACGCAAAGGACCUGUGCCACCAGUAAUUUUAAUUACCAAGGGAAAAGAGGUUUUGUAUAAAUAUGACCUUGAUUCUUCUUCAAGAGAAGAAAGUUUCCCUCUGGCACGGCCGGUGCUGAGGC
Xenopus tropicalis (tropical clawed frog) is the source of this 622-nucleotide long non-coding RNA. RefSeq lists it as uncharacterized. NCBI's taxonomy places the organism in Eukaryota, Metazoa, Chordata, Amphibia, Anura, Pipidae. The record is from RefSeq and is a predicted model, not a curated record. The transcript has 4 exons.